Molecule: ribosomal RNA, 519 nt
Filed under: Foraminifera environmental sample
Lineage: Eukaryota; Foraminifera
Description: partial Eukaryotic small subunit ribosomal RNA
Rfam family: Eukaryotic small subunit ribosomal RNA (bases 1-462)
Source: RNAcentral
AUAUACUAAUGCAACUGCGAAUAGCUGUUUAAUACAGUCGUAAUUGUAUUGACUUAUAUAUGUAAAUAAUAAUAGUUAUUUAUUUGGAUAACUAAGGGAAAGUUUGGCUAAUACGUUUAAAAUAUAAUAAUAGAUUAUGCACAUAAUAAUAAUAUUAAUAUAUGAUAAAUAUUAUGUAAAUAAGAGUAUUUUUUUACUCUAAUAGAGCAGACUUUAUAAUAUUUUAAUUAUUAUAAAGCAUGUCAAACAAGCAUCUAUAGCAUCAAGUCACAAUGUUGGCAUGUGUAUUAUUGAACCUUCAAAGCAUUUACGCAUUCGGAGGAGUAGUUUCUGAUCCCGUCGAAGGUGCCUGAGAGACGGCACUUAGUUCUAAGGAACGCAGCAGGCGCGUAAAUUGCCCAAUGACAAAACAUGUUAUACUAAAACUCAAUAUAUAAUAUUUUUAUUGAGGCAGUGACAAGCUGUAAAGAUUGAAUAUAUUAAUUAAGAUAACAUUUGGAAUUGUCGUUUUAUAAUAUU